ACAGUAACCCUGCCUGUGGCUCUUCUAGAGGUACUGCCGGUCCCAAGCCCGGGUAAAGGAGGAGGAUUGA
RNAcentral lists this non-coding RNA (70 nucleotides) under Schistosoma mansoni. The record is from RNAcentral. Lineage: Eukaryota; Metazoa; Platyhelminthes; Trematoda; Strigeidida; Schistosomatidae.